This 10598-nucleotide long non-coding RNA is filed under the name Olea europaea (common olive). RNAcentral describes it as "long non-coding RNA (OEUR_LNC005077)". The record is from RNAcentral. Lineage: Eukaryota; Viridiplantae; Streptophyta; Magnoliopsida; Lamiales; Oleaceae.
GGAGUUCCAAGUGAUUUAUCAACCACCAACAUAAAAAGGUAAGAGGGAAAACAAAAAUUAAGUUCCAACAUAAUAUAUUUUGACAAAUUAAUUAAGCUACUUAUUACUUCAACUACAAAGUUUGGAGGAAACCAGCAUACAAAAAGAAAAACUGCAAUCCCCCGUGCGAUUUCUCUGGAAAGUGAAUAAUCUAUAGACGCAUCAGAAAGAUAUGGUACACGUGCCAUCAAAUAAUGGGGCAUUAAUUAAUGAAAAACAGGAAAAUGAAAUUAAAGUGCUACACUUAUCCAGCAACAUACUUCUACACCCUUACAGCAUCCGAACAAUAUAGUUAGUCGUUCCAGACGAGCAGUCUCCGAUUUAUAACUUCAGUAUGCAUGUGGUGUUGCAGACUGUAGCAGUAUCUGAUCUUUGUAAACUUCAGUAUGGAGCUUAUCCGGAAAAAUAUGAACAGAAAAUUUUGAGGAAACGGUGCCUCUUUCACCACCAGAGUUCGGCCUAUAAACAAAGCAGUUUAUGACUAUAAACUAUCUUCUUGUGAAAAGAGUACGUCAAAAUGUCACUAUUAAUGUACAACUGGCUCAUCCAGAAUUCCCAGCAACCUCUGCGGCACGCUGCCUCAUCAUUUCCAUCACAGCUGCCCUUCUUCGGGAAUCAGACUGCUGUUGCAGCCUUCUAAUGUGCUCAGUCAAAUCUCUGCAUCAAAACAUUGUAAAUAAAUUCAUAUGGUUUCUAGCACAAAACUAGGUUCAUAGUGAUGACACAGAGGUAUGGGGGAAAUUUCAAAGUCCCAAGGAUAAAAAUGAGAUAGGUGAACAAACCUGCAGCGCGGUACAGUGCAUUACAUAUACGCAUUAGCCCCAGUUUGGCCCUCAUUUUGGGAUAUGAAAAUGGAUGAAAUAGUAAUUUUUUGAAAAAUGAAUUGUUGAAAAAGAAAAAAAGGUUUUUUAUUUAUAUAUAAUAUUAUUUUAUGGAAUAUUAUGUGGUUAAAAAUCGAAGAGAAAAAAAUGAAAUGAAAUGGAAUUGAAAUUAAUGGGGGAGUCGGUAGAGCAUAUUUUAACUUCUUUGCUAAUUUCUUAAUGCCUCUCCCUCGAAUCUAAGUAUUUCAUUUUAUUUUUUGACAAAUAAAUCCAGUAAAGUAAACAAGCCAAAAAUAUUUAUUUAUUUUGUACUUACCCAAGUCACUGUCUUCUUGCAACUGCCAGGGAGAGUAAUAAUAAUUGUGAAAAAGACAGUCCUCUUGUGUGGCCGUAGAUAUUGAAAACUUCACCUGAAAGGGAGGCACUCAUUUAAUGACCUUGAAUUUAAUUUAGGAUCUUUAUAUUUGUGUACUCAUGAAUUUCUUCAUUUCUAUAGUUUGUAAAAAUUUAUAUAACCUUGCUACAUGUAUAUUAUGACGUAGUUGAAAUUACACUUUAAUUUAAGUUUCAAACAAUUUUUUCAUUCAAUUGACACUUGACAACAAUGUAAAUAUCAACCAAAGUGUCAAAAAUCAAUAUAAAAAUAGCAAAGUUCAAAUUUAUAUGGCCUUUCCCAACUACAUGCAUAUUAUAAGUUCCCCUAACCGACAACGAAAUGUUCGUACAUUAAUUGCCAAUUAAAGAACAUCAACUCAGAAAUAAAGAAUUGUCUUGUCAGUAUUGAAUUGAGCUUCUUCAAACGUAAACUCCAUAUUUUUUCAAGUUCAACAUUUAUGAUAGUAAGUAAUGUACAACGUUUUUCAAAUUUUAGUGACCAAAAUUCGACAUUUUCAACUUCAGUGAGCAAUCGAAAAUAUGAAUCUAAGUUCAGUGAUCAAAACUCGACAUUUUCAACUUCAGUGACCAAUCAAAGACAUGAAUCUAAGUUUAGUGACCAUUGUAACAAUUAAUUCAAAAAAUGAUUUCUUAUUUCUCCAAAGUUUGAUUGAUGAUUUCUGUUAAUUGAGAACAUAAUGAUGGAGAUUUAUGUUGUUGUUUUUAAAGGUUUAGGGACUCAGAAGUUCAGUCGUGCAAAAACUAAUGACUCAAGUCUAACUUUCGCGUUAUUUAAGGCAAGCGGCCAAGUCCACUGCAACAUGUACAAUAGAAUCAAGAACUUGCCUCGCCGACCCACAAACUAAACUGACGCCAAAUGAAUGGCUACUAUCAACUCUCAUUAAUUACUAUCAUAAAAGCUUUACUUGACUAUCCAACAUACAAAAUUAAAGUUUGAAUCUGAUUUCUUUGCCAUUAAAUGAUCCCCAACAAACUCCUUCCCCUCCACUUUGUUAGUUUCUCAUUUCUACUUAUUUCCAGUUCAGUAUAAAAGCUCGCUUAAUUUGUUUAUUGAGACAAAAAACAAAGACAAACAGAUGGAAUGUGUGUACUUACCAUGGUUGUUCUUGGCCCAGUUUUUGAUGUUAAUCAUCACUGGUGCAGCAAAAGUUCCAGCCAUUAUAGUGUUUGGAGAUUCAUCUGUUGAUGCUGGGAAUAAUAAUCAGAUUUCGACUAUGUUGAAGAGCAAUUUUAGGCCAUAUGGUCGAGAUUUCUUUGGUGGGAAAGCCACAGGGAGAUUCUCAAAUGGCCGUAUUCCUCCAGAUUUCAUUUCUGAAGGAUUUGGUCUUAGGCCAUUUGUGCCUGCUUAUUUAGAUCCCAUGUAUAAGAUUUCAGAUUUUGCUGCAGGCGUUUGCUUUGCUUCUGCUGGUACUGGUUUUGAUAACUCAACCUCUGCAGUACUUGUAAGUCUCCAGUUUUCAUUUCAGUUGCUACUUGCUUUAGUACAAUUUUUCUUUUCCUGCGUAUAGCCGAUCUCAGGCCUGAGCUUAAGACUCUCGUAACACCUCGUUUACCAACUGCCCGGAUACGGAAACAUAGACGGAAAUAAAUCGAGGUAUUGCAUGGUCGAUCUCAAAUUUAUUACUGUUUGAAUGCAGAAUGUUUUACCAGUUUGGAAGGAAGUGGAGUACUACAAGGAUUAUCAGAAAAAGCUCAAAGCCUAUGUGGGUGAAGAAAAGGCAAAGUUCAUAAUCAGUGAGGCCUUGUAUUUGAUUAGCAUGGGAACAAAUGACUUCCUAGAAAACUAUUACACACUUCCAGACAGACAAUCCCAGUACAGUGUGGAUCAGUACCAGGUUUUCCUCUUAGGACUCGCAGAAAAAUUUAUAAAGGAGAUAUAUGGUUUAGGAGCUAGAAAAAUGGCCUUAGCAGGUUUACCUCCAAUGGGGUGUCUGCCAUUGGAGAGGACAACAAAUUUCUUCAAUGGAAAUGGAGAGCGGUGCAAUGAUGGAUACAACACUGUGGCACUGCAUUUCAAUCAGAAACUGAGUGGUUUAGUGAACAAGUUGAACAAGGAAUUGCCUGGCAUAAGAAUGGUUUUAUCAAAUCCUUAUAAUAUGUUCGUGCAAAUCAUCAAGAAACCUUCAUUAUUUGGUAAGUUUUUCUUUAACUUAUUUUGUAUUGAGUAAUUUUAUUUAACAUCAGUCAGACCCCAUUAAUUAAUUAUUCAAUGCAUCCCAACUGCCUCGUAGAAUGUGAUACUACCUAGCAUUAUGUUUUUGCAUAGUACGGCGUAGGUGAUAGUCAUACCCACUAGGAUCUUGCUGCUCUGUCAGUGUGGGGUUGACCGAACCCCCACCGACUACUCACGUACAAGGAGAGGGGGAGUGGUGCAUUUUUGGGGUAUCAUUAAUGAGUUCCGGAUCCACCUCAUGUGAGUAACCUGUACAAAAUCUGAUAGAAUGAUUCGAUAGAAUAGUUUUAUCCAUUCACAUUAAGCCCCAUUUGGCAUGACCUUUAAAAAGGCCAAAGGGCUUUUGAGAUUCAAAACUAUUUUUGAAUUCGUUUGGCUAAUUUUAUGAAAGUGUUUUUUUCUAAUUAAAAAAGUUCUUAAAGAAAAUUGGUCUAACGAGACUUGAGCACUUUUAGAAUAGAUGAAGCUUUUUUUAAAAUUAGUUUUCAAAUAAAAAUAAAAGUAGUUUUCUCCAAAAACUUUUCUACAUAGACCGAAAGUAAAAGUAAAAAUCAUGCCAAAUGGACCUCUAAUUUAUUGUCCAAUACAUUAAAAAAUGAAUCUCAACCACCAUUUAAAUAGGUGCUAAGCACCUAUGUUGCUACAUAACAUUACUCUAGUGCUUUUAAAAUAUUAUGCCACCUUGUAUAUGAAAUCCUUAGAGAUGCUCAACCUAUUAAAAUACUGGUGGGAGACGCCUAUAUUUUAGUGAAUUCUACUAAAACUUGACUUAGGUAGAUUUAUAUUUAUACAAAUAUUUAAAAUCCAUUAAAAUCUGAGUCGAGGACAGCCCUAAAUGAAAAAUAAACAUACGUCUAAUGUGUAUAAUAUUUUAUAAGUUUCGAAAACCAAAACUUUGUCAACACAUCCCAUAUUUACCUCAUAUUAAUUGUAUUCUUAGUUACUUUUGUACAACUUACGAUAUCAUGGAAGAAAUAACACACAAAAAUUUCUUGACACGGUUGGUCGUGUCUCUUAUCACCUGUAUUACUGUACUUCUUGUGAUAUAUUUGCUCGCUUUUUAUUAAAAAAUAAAAAUAAAGAAAGAAAACCUGUCAUUCUUAAAGAUUGUGGCAAUUUAUGUAUGACAGGAUUUGACGUAGCAGCAGUGGCAUGUUGUUCGACAGGAAUGUUUGAGAUGGGAUACUUAUGUGAUCAAAUGAAUCCCUUUACAUGUUCAGAUGCAAGUAAGUAUGUAUUUUGGGAUUCUUUCCAUCCAACAGAGAAAACAAAUAAGAUCCUUUCUGAGUAUCUUCUCAAGAGUAGUCUGCGUCAGUUUUUGUAGUUUAAACUAUUUGUUUAUGGAAGGUUUUUUGUACGAUUAGGGUGUGAAUAUUUGUUUGUCUGUUCCUAUUUGUUUUAAGGUUUGUAUUGUAUGGCCGUGCGGGUAUGAUGUCUUCUAUUUUUACGAGUACCUUAUAACUUAUUUGUCGUGCUAGACAUUGUUCAAAUGUUGCUCUCCAUUUUAAAUAUAUUGAAGAUUUCUUUAUCGUUGAACAAUGAAUCUCAAGACACAUUUUUGUCCGACGCUUACUAAGAAACUAGUUCGUUUCACGUGCCAUGCACAUGAAGUAUAUUUACUCGAGCAAAUUUUGGUACUUGUUUUUUUGGGUUUGUAUGGACUAUGAUCUUGUAUGAUUACAUUCCCAAUCUAAUGUUACAUUUGUAUGAGUACUAUAAUUGCUUCUUGUCUUAGACAACCGUUAAGCCUCUAUUUGAACCCUCAUUAUAUAAAAACUUAUUUUCAAUCACACAUUCUUUCAAUAAAAUAAUAUUUCACGUACACCCAAAUUUUCUACCUUUUAACCGUGUUCUUCAACAAAUCGUUAUAUCGAAACUCUUUCUUUUAAAAAUGGAGUUCAAACAUACCCUAAAUAAUUCAAUCUAUUUUAACAUUAAGAUAAAAUUAUUGGUAGUAUAUUGUAAGGUUAGCAUUGCCAUUACUGUAACUCGGGAGGAACUCAACUUCGAGCUGAGGGACAAGCACACGGCUCUAAUUUGGAGGACUAACAAGUGCUCCAUAUAUCGAUAAAAUUAUUAGCGCACGGAGAACUUAAAUUCAUCGUUAAACAAGUGCACGAGGACUGCUCCACGUAUCUGACGUGGUGGCUCACACUGUCACGCAGAACUCGAGUCCGAGCCAUGGUAUAAGUUCAAUACUGGCAUCUGGACUUCUAUAGUUAUGCCUGUGGCCUUUAAUAUGAUCCAUUUUCCAUUCAUAUCAAGCAACAAAUCUCCAAGAUUCCAUCCAACUCUUCUACCAUUUGGGUCCGAUUCCGACUUCUUUCUCCUCCUCAAAUUGACAGGACCCUCUCUUGUAACUAUAGUGCGCUCGAGACAGGUUAUUGAAAUAAAUAUUGGCCUCGUUUGAUACACAUUAAUGUAAAAAUGAGAAUGAAAAAUAAAGCCGUUACGGGUCUCAUACAAAAAAUUAAAAAUCAAAUAUGAUGACUUGAUAUGAUGUAUAACGGUCAUAUUUUUAAUUUUAAUGGGCAAAUAAUGAGAAACAAACGGGAGCUAAUUAAGUGUAAGACCCACCAAUGGCUAACUGUAACGCUCCAAAUUUUCAUAACACCGGAACGUUACCAAAAAAAUAUUUUUCUUUACUUUACAUGUGAAAAUAUCAAAAUUAAAUUUUUUUUUAUAAGUAAUAACUACGGCAUUCAUAAAUUUAAAAUAAACAUAGCGAUUGUAUCUGGAAAAUAACAAUAAGAAUUUCUUUAAAUUAACAAACAAUUAUGAAGGCAGAAAGACUUAAUGGAAAAUUUAUUAUUUGUUACUACGAUUCACUUGGCGGCCUGCAUUACCGCCCUUCCACAAUUCCAAUUGACCCGAACUAACAUUAAAAAUUUGUAAAAGUGAGUAUUCGAAAACACUCAGUAAGAUACGUGCAGUUUCCAUAUACAUAUAUAUAACAAUAAAAAUUACAAUUCAUACCAUCUGAUCUUAUGGAGUAUAUCGGUAACUAAGCGACACACCCAUCUUAAAUCUUUUUAUUAUCCCGUAGGAUUUCAUAUCUCUUAAAAAAAAUGAAUGCCUACUGGCAAUUCAUGCAUUUUUUAUUGAACAUAAACGCAUAAGAAAACAAAGACACUUGUACUUAAAGUAUUUUACCUUUUUAGAAAAAUCUGAAGCACGUUCAAAAUCUUUUUUUUCUUUAAAAAUACGUGAUUAAAAUAUUCAAUGUACAGUUAAACCUCGAUAAAGUAAUACCCUCGGGACCGGAAAAAAAUAUUCAUUUAGCGAGAUUAUUUAUUUAUCGAUAAAUGAAUAAAUUAUUCAUUUAUCGAUAAAUAAAUAUUUAUUAUUUUGGAGAGAGCUUUUCAAAAUAAAAUAUGUACAUUGUAUGUGGUAAGAAAAAUCAAAAGACACUAAUCAAAGUAUUAUUUGAAUCUAGGGAAGCUCAAAAGUUUUAGUGAAAUUUAAUGUCUCUAAAAACUAAAUUCAUGUACAUAACAAAUGAAAAGAUUUAGUCUUUACCUAUAAAAGCUAGAUGUUUGGAAGACAUAUUCCAAACACAUACAAUAUUUUGUUUCCCCUCCAAUGUCUUCUCGUCAUUUGAAAGGAGUAAAAAAAUCAACUUUAAUCGAUAAAAUGAGGAGUGCAAUAUGUGAGCAUAAGAAAGAGAAUUCAACUAUUAGCCAAAAAGAUAUGCAAGCAUGGGUGCAACAAAAGUUUGAUUUGACUAUUAGUCAAUCAACAAUAUCGAACACUCUCAAAAGGGCGUCGAAAUAUUUGUCAAAUGAGAUGAAAAAUAGCGAUGUUAAAAGGCACAAAUCGGCAAAAUACCCUGAUUUAGAGAAAGUUUUGUAUGAGUGGUUUUUUCAAAUGAAAGAUAAAGUGAACAUGUCUGAAGAAAUUAUCCAAGGAAAAGCUAAAGUGCUUUUGCAAAAAAUGUAUGGUGAAACUAAUCCAGAAUUCAGCUUUUCUAGUGGAUGAUUAGAACGUUUCAAGGCAAGAUAUGGAAUCAAAUCUUAUCGACGUUUUGGUGAAAGUGGUUCAGUUAUCAUGGAGAACAUUGAAAAUGCUUUACCUGGAAUACGAUCAAAACUAGACCAGUUUCAGUUAAAGGAUAUUUACAAUAUGGAUGAAACUGGAUUAUUUUACCGAUGGGAAGCUGAUCAUUCACUUGCUACCAAGCAGCUCGAAGGAUGCAAAAAAGAUAAGGAGAGAAUUACUGUUGUUGUUUGUUGCAAUGGUGAUGGAUCUGACAAAGUACCAUUUUGGGUUAUUGGUAAGUAUGCAAAUCCUACAUGUUUUAAAAAUAUGAACAUGAACAAUCUUAAUUGCAAGUAUCGAUCCAACAAGAAAGCUUGGAUGACUGGCUUGCUUUUUCAAGAUUUUGUUGGUUGGUUUGAUAAGAGAAUGAAUGGCAGGAAGGUUCUCUUAAUAGUAGACAAUUGCCCAACUCAUCCAAAAGUAGUUGAAGGUUUGAGAAAUGUAUAGUUAUUUUUCUUACCUCCUAACACAACGUCUAGAUUCAACCAUGUGAUGCUGGGAUUAUUCGAGCAUUCAAAACUCAUUAUCGUUGUCGUUUUUAUUCUAGCAUCUUACAAAGCCUUGAGGUUGAAGCACCAAAUCCUGAAAAAAUUAAUAUUUUGAAUGCUAUUAAUUUUGCUAACAUGGUUUGAAAUUUUGAUGUGAAGACAACAACAAUUGCAAAUUGUUUUCGGCAUUGCAAGAUUUGGUCAGAAGAAAACAAUGUUCCCGGACCAGAAGUUGGUGAAUUAGAUGAAGGUAUCCAAGGAUUAAAUGAUGUCAUCUCUAAUUUACACUAUAGAAAUGUGAUAGAUGUUGAACAUCUUUUGAACUAUCCUAACGAGAAUGAUGCAGUUAUGGAAUCACCUACAAACGAAGAAAUUAUUCAAUCAGUAAUGAACAGUAAUGAUGAUGAGAAUGAUCCUGAACCAGAUGAUAGUAGCGUUGUCCCAAAUGUGUCGUCAAAAGAGGCAUUUCAAGCAAUAGUCACCUUAAGCAACUACUUGCUACAACACGAGCAAAAUAUUCCGGAAGUUGUAUAUGCUCUACAAAAAGUUAAGGAUGGGGUUCAUUUUGGUUGAGGUGGGAAGAAAAAAUAAUCAACUAUAGAUGUAUAUUUUCAAAAGGAAUGAUUACUGUACGAGUAUUGUUGAUUGAUUGAAAAAUUUUGGUCUAUAUAUAUAUAUUUUUUUCUCAAUGAAAUCCAGUAAUUAUUACUUUAUAUUUUUAUUGGGCCCUUAAGGAUUCAAUUUUUUUUUAUUACUUAAUGCAUUUAGCGAGGUUAUUACUUUAGUCCAUUGGCCCAAGUCGGGAUCGAAAGAAAUUAUUAUAUAGUCGAGGUUAUUACUUUAUCGAACAUUACUUUAUCGAGGUUUAACUGUAUGCAAACUUUAUUUCCAAUGCUACUCUCUCUCUCUCUCUCCCUUCCUUUCUCUCUCUCUUUCUUUCUUCUCUCUCUUCCUCUGUCUCUUUACUUACUGUAUGUGUAAAUUGAUGUGAGUAAAACUUUUUAUCAUGCCUAUAUAUAUGUGUAGGCUAGAAUAGAUGAACAAAAUUUUGAUUUGAUAGAGCCAAAUCUUGCAAUCAACGUCUACUCACAAUGUAAUUUAUUAUUAUCUUAUUCAACUACAAGAUAUCCACUAUCUCUAUCCAACCGUAUAUGGGUGUAUGGUGAAUUUUUUUAUAACUAGAAUAAUAGAAUAGUGAAAACAUGGGUCAUCCUAGGAAUCUCUAAAUCAAAACUAAUAAAUAAUGAUAAAAAUCCCACCUCACACUUUUUUUUUUUAAGAGAGAAAAAUGAAUUGACUUACAAUCUAUAUAAAAUUAUAUUUAUACUAUUUUUUUCAAUUGGGUCUAAUUUAAUGUGUUCUUAUCCAAAAUAAUUUUUUCUCAAGUCAAAGACUUCUAAUUAAUUACGAUCUAUCCAACGAAUACAAUAUUGAUAUACCUAUAAUUGCUCUAUCAAAAUCUAAUUUAUUUGACCUAGAUAAAAUAGGACUUUAUAUAAUAUACAAAAUAAAUAAAUUUUUAUAUGUAACAUUUUUUGGGUUGCUACACUAACAAUGAUACGAUAAGUUUGAACAUUAUCUGUAUAAUAUGAGAAAGUUAAUCAUUUUGAUUUACGUGCAUAAUAGGGUUAUCUAAUGAUUUACAUACAGAAGUGUCAAAAGGAGAGUUGUGAAUUUUUAUUUAUUUAUUAUUAUUUUUUGUAAAAAAAUUAAUUUGAUCCAAUCAUAUCUUACCAUAUCAUAUUUAUAUGAACCAUUAUAUAAACUCUUAUGUACAUGUAGUACAAUAUUUAUGUGAAUAAUAAGGCUACUAACAACCAUCCAAUGAAGUUGAAAUAAAUUUUGUUCAUCGGAGAUGGACAAUACAAUGGUAACGUCAUUAUCAUAUAGACCGAUGAUCAUUGCUGUGAACAUAAAUUGCCCAAAUAAAAUAUCUGAAAUAAUCGAGAACCACCUGCCCCUCUUUAACAAAUAUAAAGAAAAUAAGCAAGAUUAAACAUCUUUUUAGGCAAGUGUAUACGUAGGAAGUGGCCUAAGAGUGAACCUUACUCUAUUUCUUCGGUUUAAAAUGACUGCCUAUGCUUCCAUGGCAGCUUAAUACACUGAAUCAGAUAAAAGAUUAAAUUGUAUUAAAGAAGAAAAACACAGCAAAUUUAGUCAUAGUUAGUCCUACCCCAACAAACAUGUCAUCUAGGUUUAACUCUGGUCUUCACGGAGUUCCAAGUGAUUUAUCAACCACCAACAUAAAAAGGUAAGAGGGAAAACAAAAAUUAAGUUCCAACAUAAUAUAUUUUGACAAAUUAAUUAAGCUACUUAUUACUUCAACUACAAAGUUUGGAGGAAACCAGCAUACAAAAAGAAAAACUGCAAUCCCCCGUGCGAUUUCUCUGGAAAGUGAAUAAUCUAUAGACGCAUCAGAAAGAUAUGGUACACGUGCCAUCAAAUAAUGGGGCAUUAAUUAAUGAAAAACAGGAAAAUGAAAUUAAAGUGCUACACUUAUCCAGCAACAUACUUCUACACCCUUACAGCAUCCGAACAAUAUAGUUAGUCGUUCCAGACGAGCAGUCUCCGAUUUAUAACUUCAGUAUGCAUGUGGUGUUGCAGACUGUAGCAGUAUCUGAUCUUUGUAAACUUCAGUAUGGA